AGAGAUGUGUGAUGACGCAUAUCAAUAAGCGGAGGAAAAGAAACUAACAAGGAUUCCCUUAGUAACGGCGAGUGAAGCGGGAAGAGCUCAAAUUUGAAAUCUUCAAGGUUCUACCUUGACGAAUUGUAGUUUAUAGAAGUGUUUUCUGUUAGUAGAGUGGCAAAAGUUCUUUGGAAUAGGACAUCAUAGAGGGUGAGAAUCCCGUAUUUGGUCAUUCCUUCUAGCGUUGUGAUACACUUUCAAAGAGUCGGAUUGUUUGGGAAUGCAGUCAAAAUGGGUGGUAAAUUUCAUCUAAAGCUAAAUAUUGGCGAGAGACCGAUAGCGAACAAGUACCGUGAGGGAAAGAUGAAAAGAACUUUGAAAAGAGAGUUAAACAGUACGUGAAAUUGUCAAAAGGGAAGCGUUUGACACCAGUGUUGUUUUUCCGAAAAUCAAUUACGAAUGUUUUAGUUUUUGAGGAGUUAUGACUUCAUCGGCUUGCUUCUCUCUUUACUGAAACUUUCUUAAUGCACUUUUCGGUUAACAAGUCAACAGUCAUUUCUUUUGUUGUAAAAGGGUAUGAGGAAGGUGGCUUUCUUUUCGGAGAAAGUGUUUAUAGCCUUGUACCUCUGCAAUCGGAGAGAUUGAGGUCUGCAGCGUAGAUCCUUCGGGGUUAGAUACAUUUGUGCUAAGUUAUAGCUUUUCAUAGACAACUUGUUGACUAUGUUAGUCUUGUAGCUUACUCGCUUAUGCUAUUUUACCUACGCUUAGGAUGUUGAAGAUGUAGCACAUCAU
Molecule: ribosomal RNA, 774 nt
Filed under: uncultured Neocallimastigales
Lineage: Eukaryota; Fungi; Neocallimastigomycota; Neocallimastigomycetes; Neocallimastigales
Description: partial large subunit ribosomal RNA
Rfam family: Eukaryotic large subunit ribosomal RNA
Source: RNAcentral